Molecule: ribosomal RNA, 1306 nt
Filed under: human gut metagenome
Description: bacterial LSU rRNA
Rfam family: Bacterial large subunit ribosomal RNA
Source: RNAcentral
CCGAAGCGAAAGCGAGUCUGAAUAGGGCGAAAGUUGCAUGACGUAGACCCGAAACCGGGUGACCUAUCCAUGAGCAGGUUGAAGUGGAGGUAAAGCUCCAUGGAGGACCGAACCAGACGUCUGUUGAAAAAGGCGGGGAUGACUUGUGGAUAGGGGAGAAAUUCCAAUCGAACCCGGAGAUAGCUGGUUCUCCUCGAAAUAGCUUUAGGGCUAGCCUCAUGGAUCAUUGAUGGGGGUAGAGCACUGAAUGUGCGCGGGGGCCACAAAGCCUACCAAACGCUAUCAAACUUCGAAUACCAUACAAUGCAGACCAUGGGAGUCAGUCCGCGAGAGAUAAGUUCCGCGGGCAAAAGGGGAACACCCCAGAUCAACCGCUAAGGUCCCCAAGUUCACGUUAAGUGGAGAAGGAUGUGGAAUUGCACAGACAACCAGGAUGUUGGCUCAGAAGCAGCCACACAUUUAAAGAGUGCGUAAUAGCUCACUGGUCGAGUGAUUGUGCGCCGAAGAUGUCCGGGGCUAAACGUGACACCGAAGCGAUGGGUGCAUCUGAAAGGAUGCGCGGUAGAGGAGCAAUGUGCAGAGGCAGAAGCCGUAUCGAGAGGCACGGUGGACACUGCACAAGAGAGAAUGCCGGUAUGAGUAGCGAGAGGCAUGCGAGAAACAUGCCCGUCGAAAGCCCAAGGUUUCCUGGGGAAGGUUCAUCCGCCCAGGGUAAGUCGGGGCCUAAGCCGAGGACGGAAGUCGUAGGCGAUGGACAGCAGGUGUAGAUUCCUGCACUACCGAUGGAAUGAAGCAGUGACACAGAAGGAUAACUCGAGCAGGGUGAUGGUCAACCCUGUGCAAGCAUCAAGGUUGGGUUGUAGUGAAGUACGCAACCCUACAAGCUGAGGUGUGAUGCGGACCGAAAUUUCAGUAGGGAAGCGAGUGAGUUCACGCUGGCGAGAAAAGCUGCUAGUACAUCCAAAGGUACCCGUACCGGAAACCGACGCAGGUGGGCGAGGAGAGAAUCCUGAGACGAACGGGAGAACCCUUGUUAAGGAACUCGGCAAAAUGACCCCGUAACUUCGGGAUAAGGGGUGCCUGCGAGAGCAGGCCGCAGAGAAUAGUCACAAGCGACUGUUUAGCAAAAACACAGGUAUCUGCGAAAGCGAGAGCUGACGUAUAGGUGCUGACACCUGCCCGGUGCUGGAAGGUUAAGGGAACAUGUUAGAGCAAUCGAAGCAUCGAACCGAAGCCCCAGUAAACGGCGGCCGUAACUAUAACGGUCCUAAGGUAGCGAAAUUCCUUGUCGGGUAAGUUCCGACCC